This 2176-nucleotide ribosomal RNA is filed under the name Flavobacterium filum DSM 17961. Its description in RNAcentral is "bacterial LSU rRNA". It matches the Rfam family "Bacterial large subunit ribosomal RNA", at positions 1 to 2198 of the family's 2925-position model. The record is from RNAcentral. Lineage: Bacteria; Pseudomonadati; Bacteroidota; Flavobacteriia; Flavobacteriales; Flavobacteriaceae.
AUAAGCAAAAUAAGGGCGUAUGGGGGAUGCCUAGGCUCUCAGAGGCGAUGAAGGGCGUGAUAAGCUGCGAAAAGCUACGGGUAUUGGCACACACGAUAUAAUCCGUAGAUACCCGAAUGGGGCAACCCAAUGCAUUGAAGAUGCAUUACACCGAUAGGUGAGCAAACCCGCUGAACUGAAACAUCUAAGUAGGCGGAGGAGAAGAAAACAAAAGUGAUUCCGUAAGUAGUGGCGAGCGAACGCGGAUUAGCCCAAACCAAGGAUGUUACGGCAUAUUUGGGGUUGUAGGACCACGAGAUUUCUUGCUAAUUGAAUUAGAAUUACCUGGAAAGGUAAGCCAAAGAGGGUGAUAGCCCCGUAUAAGUAAGAGAGGAUAAGGAUAGUGGUAUCCUGAGUAGGGCGGGGCACGUGAAACCCUGUCUGAAUUUGGCGGGACCAUCCGCUAAGGCUAAAUACUCCUGAGAGACCGAUAGUGAACCAGUACUGUGAAGGAAAGGUGAAAAGAACCGUGAAUAACGGAGUGAAAUAGAUCCUGAAACCAUACGCUUACAAGCGGUCGGAGCAGCAUAAGCUGUGACGGCGUGCCUUUUGCAUAAUGAGCCUACGAGUUAACGUUGCCGGCAAGGUUAAGUGAUUCAGUCACGGAUCCGUAGCGAAAGCGAGUCUGAAUAGGGCGAAUUAGUCGGUAGUGUUAGACGCGAAACCGUGUGAUCUACCCAUGGGCAGGAUGAAGCUGUGGUAACACAUAGUGGAGGUCCGAACCGGUUGACGUUGAAAAGUCUUCGGAUGACCUGUGGGUAGGGGUGAAAGGCCAAUCAAACUCGGAAAUAGCUCGUACUCCCCGAAAUGCAUUUAGGUGCAGCGCUGAUCGUAAAGUUAUAUAGAGGUAGAGCUACUGAUUGGAUGCGGGGGCUUCACCGCCUACCAAUUCCUGACAAACUCCGAAUGCUAUAUAAUGUUUAUCAGCAGUGAGGGCUUGGGUGCUAAGGUCCAAGUCCGAGAGGGAAAGAACCCAGACCAUCAGCUAAGGUCCCCAAAUAUAUGCUAAGUUGAAAAAACGAGGUUUGUCUGCCCAGACAGCUAGGAUGUUGGCUUGGAAGCAGCCAUUCAUUUAAAGAGUGCGUAACAGCUCACUAGUCGAGCGGACGAGCAUGGAUAAUAAUCGGGCAUAAGCAUAUUACCGAAGCUAUGGAUUUGUAGUAAUACAAGUGGUAGGGGAGCAUUCUAACAUCGCGGAAGGUGUAGCGUGAGCUAUGCUGGAGAGGUUAGAAAAGAAAAUGUAGGCAUAAGUAACGAUAAUGCGGGCGAGAAACCCGCACACCGAAAGACUAAGGUUUCCGCAGCUAUGCUAAUCAGCUGCGGGUUAGUCGGGACCUAAGGCGCACCCGAAAGGGGAAGUCGAUGGCCAACGGGUUAAUAUUCCCGUACUACUUAUUGUUGUGAUGGAGUGACGCAGUGGUGAAAGUACCGCGGACUGACGGAAGUGUCCGUUGAAGGUUGUAGCUAUAUUCUAGAUAGGCAAAUCCGUUUAGAAUGGCAAAGACUGAUAGUACUCGGAGUCUUCGGACAAAGAGAUAGUGUACCUAAAGGCUGCCAAGAAAAGCUUCUAAACUUAGAUAAUAAGUACCCGUACCGUAAACCGACACAGGUAGUCGAGGAGAGAAUCCUAAGGUGCUCGAGAGAUUCAUGGCUAAGGAAUUAGGCAAAAUAGACCUGUAACUUCGGGAGAAAGGUCGCCAGCAGCAAUGCUGGCCGCAGUGAAAAGGUCCAGGCGACUGUUUAUCAAAAACACAGGGCUCUGCCAAAUCGUAAGAUGAAGUAUAGGGCCUGACACCUGCCCGGUGCUGGAAGGUUAAGAGGAGAUGUUAUCAGCAAUGAGAAGCAUUGAAUUGAAGCCCCAGUAAACGGCGGCCGUAACUAUAACGGUCCUAAGGUAGCGAAAUUCCUUGUCGGGUAAGUUCCGACCUGCACGAAUGGUGUAACGAUCUGGACACUGUCUCAGCCAUGAGCUCGGUGAAAUUGUAGUAUCGGUGAAGAUGCCGAUUACCCGCAGUGGGACGAAAAGACCCUGUGCACCUUUACUAUAGCUUAGUAUUGGUCUUGGAUAAGUGAUGUGUAGGAUAGGUGGGAGACUGUGAAGUGGCGUCGCUAGGCGUUGUGGAGUCAUUGUUGAAAU